ACCCUGAAAACACCGGUUCUUGUUGGAUCACCGAAGUUAAGCAAAAUCGAACCUGGUCAGUACUUCGAUGGGACAUCGCUUGUGAAUAUU
This is a non-coding RNA of Acanthosepion pharaonis, 90 nucleotides long. NCBI's taxonomy places the organism in Eukaryota, Metazoa, Mollusca, Cephalopoda, Sepiida, Sepiidae. The record is from the annotation of a GenBank genome assembly.